Molecule: ribosomal RNA, 506 nt
Filed under: uncultured bacterium
Lineage: Bacteria
Description: bacterial SSU rRNA
Rfam family: Bacterial small subunit ribosomal RNA
Source: RNAcentral
GAUGAACGCUAGCGACAGGCCUAACACAUGCAAGUCGAGGGGCAUCGGGACGUAGCAAUACGUUGCCGGCGACCGGCGGAUGGGUGAGUAACGCGUAUGCAACCUACCCGUAGCAGGGGGAUAGCCCGUUGAAAGACGGAUUAAUACCCCGUAACACAGGGGCUCCGCAUGGAGAUUAUUGUUAAAGGGUCAUUUCUUUUAGAGGUGGUCCGGCUGCGGAUGGGCAUGCGUUCCAUUAGGUAGUUGGUGUAGGUAACGGCUCACCAAGCCGACGAUGGAUAGGGGAACUGAGAGGUUGGUCCCCCACACUGGUACUGAGACACGGACCAGACUCCUACGGGAGGCAGCAGUGAGGAAUCUUGGUCAAUGGACGCAAGUCUGAACCAGCCAUGUCGCGUGAAGGAGGACGGCCCUAAGGGUUGUAAACUUCUUUUGCAGCGGAAUAAAGUUUGCCACGAGUUGGCGAUUUGCAAGUACGCUGCGAAUAAGGAUCGGCUAACUCCGUG